GAUGAACGCUAGCGGGAGGCUUAACACAUGCAAGUCGAGGGGCAGCAUAGGGUAGCAAUACUCUGAUGGCGACCGGCAAACGGGUGAGUAACGCGUAUGCAACCUACCCUGUACAGGGGGAUAACCCGGAGAAAUUCGGACUAAUAUCCCGUAAUAAUAUCCGGAGGCAUCUUUGGAUAUUUAAAGUUCCGACGGUACGGGAUGGGCAUGCGUAACAUUAGCUGGUUGGUAAGGUAACGGCUUACCAAGGCUAUGAUGUUUAGGGGUCCUGAGAGGGUGGUCCCCCACACUGGUACUGAGACACGGACCAGACUCCUACGGGAGGCAGCAGUGAGGAAUAUUGGUCAAUGGGCGCAAGCCUGAACCAGCCAUCCCGCGUGCAGGAAGACGGCCCUAUGGGUUGUAAACUGCUUUUCCAGGGAGAGAAACUUACGCACGUGUUGCGUGACUGACGGUACCCUGGGAAUAAGCAUCGGCUAACUCCGUGCCAGCAGCCGCGGUAAACUGUCUACG
This 513-nucleotide ribosomal RNA is filed under the name uncultured bacterium. RNAcentral describes it as "bacterial SSU rRNA". It matches the Rfam family "Bacterial small subunit ribosomal RNA", at positions 28 to 534 of the family's 1533-position model. The record is from RNAcentral.